GCACUCUUCGGAGUGAGUGGCAGACGGGUGAGUAACGCGUGGGAAUCUACCCAUCUCUACGGAAUAACGCAUGGAAACGUGUGCUAAUACCGUAUACGCCCUACGGGGGAAAGAUUUAUCGGAGUUGGAUGAGCCCGCGUUGGAUUAGCUUGUUGGUGAGGUAAGAGCUCACCAAGGCGACGAUCCAUAGCUGGUCUGAGAGGAUGAUCAGCCACACUGGGACUGAGACACGGCCCAGACUCCUACGGGAGGCAGCAGUGGGGAAUAUUGGACAAUGGGCGAAAGCCUGAUCCAGCCAUGCCGCGUGAGUGAUGACGGCCCUAGGGUUGUAAAGCUCUUUCACCGGUGAAGAUAAUGACGGUAACCGGAGAAGAAGCCCCGGCUAACUUCGUGCCAGCAGCCGCGGUAAUACGAAGGGGGCUAGCGUUGUUCGGAAUAACUGGGCGUAAAGCGCACGUAGGCGGAUUGUUAAGUGAGGGGUGAAAUCCCAGGGCUCAACCCUGGAACUGCCUUUCAUACUGGCAAUCUUGAGUUCGAGAGAGGUGAGUGGAAUUCCGAGUGUAGAGGUGAAAUUCGUAGAUAUUCGGAGGAACACCAGUGGCGAAGGCGGCUCACUGGCUCGAUACUGACGCUGAGGUGCGAAAGC
This 646-nucleotide ribosomal RNA is filed under the name Parahoeflea halophila. Its description in RNAcentral is "bacterial SSU rRNA". It matches the Rfam family "Bacterial small subunit ribosomal RNA", at positions 68 to 760 of the family's 1533-position model. Lineage: Bacteria; Pseudomonadati; Pseudomonadota; Alphaproteobacteria; Hyphomicrobiales; Rhizobiaceae. The record is from RNAcentral.